This 216-nucleotide ribosomal RNA is filed under the name uncultured fungus. RNAcentral describes it as "partial small subunit ribosomal RNA". The stretch from base 39 to 216 matches the Rfam family "Eukaryotic small subunit ribosomal RNA", at positions 685 to 864 of the family's 1831-position model. Lineage: Eukaryota; Fungi. The record is from RNAcentral.
GGGUCAGCAGGUCGGUCGUGCCACUGGUAUGUACUGGCUUUGCUGAUUCCUCCCUCUUGACGAACCGUAAUGCCAUUAAUUUGGUGUUGCGGGAAAUCAGGACUGUUACUUUGAAAAAAUUAGAGUGUUUAAAGCAGGCUUACGCUUGAAUACAUUAGCAUGGAAUAAUGAAAUAGGACGUUCGAUCCUAUUUUGUUGGUUUCUAGGAUUGACGUA